UUGUGAACAAUUCUUGUGUUCUGGAGUUACAUAAAAGAUUCGAUAUAUUGUUGACCUUGGCUAAAAACAGUCGAAAACCUCUCUCUCUCUCUCUAUCUCAACUCAAUCUAUCUGUAUUCGUCAUCUGUUUCCGUGAUCUAUUUGGCUCCAUCUGACAUCUCGAUUUUAUAAUUUAUGCUGAGCAAGUGCUUGAUAUUUCCACGACAUAUUACAAUUCUCCUGUGUUU
Non-coding RNA from Styela clava, 227 nucleotides. Lineage: Eukaryota; Metazoa; Chordata; Ascidiacea; Stolidobranchia; Styelidae. The record is from RefSeq and is a predicted model, not a curated record.